Molecule: ribosomal RNA, 1470 nt
Filed under: metagenome
Description: bacterial SSU rRNA
Rfam family: Bacterial small subunit ribosomal RNA
Source: RNAcentral
AGAGUUUGAUCAUGGCUCAGGACGAACGCUGGCGGCACGCUUAACACAUGCAAGUCGAACGAGAGAAGAGGAGCUUGCUUUUCUGAUCUAGUGGCGGACGGGUGAGUAACACGUGAGCAAUCUGCCUUUCAGAGGGGGAUACCGAUUGGAAACGAUCGUUAAUACCGCAUAACAUAAUUGAACCGCAUGAUUUGAUUAUCAAAGAUUUAUCGCUGAAAGAUGAGCUCGCGUCUGAUUAGCUAGUUGGUAAGGUAACGGCUUACCAAGGCGACGAUCAGUAGCCGGACUGAGAGGUUGAUCGGCCACAUUGGGACUGAGACACGGCCCAGACUCCUACGGGAGGCAGCAGUGGGGAAUAUUGCACAAUGGAGGAAACUCUGAUGCAGCGAUGCCGCGUGAGGGAAGAAGGUUUUAGGAUUGUAAACCUCUGUCUUCAGGGACGAAAAAAGACGGUACCUGAGGAGGAAGCUCCGGCUAACUACGUGCCAGCAGCCGCGGUAAUACGUAGGGAGCGAGCGUUGUCCGGAAUUACUGGGUGUAAAGGGAGCGUAGGCGGGAUCGCAAGUCAGAUGUGAAAACUAUGGGCUUAACCCAUAAACUGCAUUUGAAACUGUGGUUCUUGAGUGAAAUAGAGGUAAGCGGAAUUCCUAGUGUAGCGGUGAAAUGCGUAGAUAUUAGGAGGAACAUCAGUGGCGAAGGCGGCUUACUGGGCUUUAACUGACGCUGAGGCUCGAAAGCGUGGGGAGCAAACAGGAUUAGAUACCCUGGUAGUCCACGCCGUAAACGAUGAUUACUAGGUGUGGGGGGACUGACCCCUUCCGUGCCGCAGCAAACGCAAUAAGUAAUCCACCUGGGGAGUACGACCGCAAGGUUGAAACUCAAAGGAAUUGACGGGGGCCCGCACAAGCAGUGGAGUAUGUGGAUUAAUUCGAAGCAACGCGAAGAACCUUACCAGGUCUUGACAUCGUAUGCAUAGCUCAGAGAUGAGUGAAAUCUCUUCGGAGACAUAUAGACAGGUGGUGCAUGGUUGUCGUCAGCUCGUGUCGUGAGAUGUUGGGUUAAGUCCCGCAACGAGCGCAACCCUUACUGUUAGUUGCUACGCAAGAGCACUCUAGCAGGACUGCCGUUGACAAAACGGAGGAAGGUGGGGAUGACGUCAAAUCAUCAUGCCCCUUAUGACCUGGGCCUCACACGUACUACAAUGGCUGUCAACAGAGGGAAGCAAAGCCGCGAGGUGGAGCGAACCCCUAAAAGCAGUCUUAGUUCGGAUUGUAGGCUGCAACCCGCCUACAUGAAGUCGGAAUUGCUAGUAAUCGCAGAUCAGCAUGCUGCGGUGAAUACGUUCCCGGGCCUUGUACACACCGCCCGUCACGCCAUGGGAGUCGGUAACACCCGAAGCCUGUAGUCUAACCGCAAGGAGGACGCAGUCGAAGGUGGGAUUGAUGACUGGGGUGAAGUCGUAACAAGGUA